AAUGGACGAAAGUCUGAUCCAGCCAUGCCGCGUGCAGGAUGACAGCCUACGGGUUGUAAACUGCUUUUAUACAGGAAGAACACUCCGACGUGUCGGAGCUUGACGGUACUGUAAGAAUAAGGAUCGGCUAACUCCGUGCCAGCAGCCGCGGUAAUACGGAGGAUCCAAGCGUUAUCCGGAAUCAUUGGGUUUAAAGGGUCCGCAGGCUGUUUUUUAAGUCAGAGGUGAAAUCCUGCAGCUCAACUGUAGAAUUGCCUUUGAUACUGGAAAACUUGAGUUAUUGUGAAGUGGUUAGAAUGUGUGGUGUAGCGGUGAAAUGCAUAGAUAUCACACAGAAUACCGAUUGCGAAGGCAGAUCACUAACAAUAUACUGACGCUCAUGGACGAAAGCGUGGGGAGCGAACAGGAUU
RNAcentral lists this ribosomal RNA (410 nucleotides) under uncultured Flavobacteriia bacterium. RNAcentral's name for it is "bacterial SSU rRNA". It matches the Rfam family "Bacterial small subunit ribosomal RNA", at positions 370 to 779 of the family's 1533-position model. Lineage: Bacteria; Pseudomonadati; Bacteroidota; Flavobacteriia. The record is from RNAcentral.